CAACCACUACCCAUAAAUUUUAUUUCAUAUCCACAUUGUAUUAAAAGAGGUACAGAUAUGAUAUUUCUUAGAAUCUUUGGUAUGUAAUAAUAUUUUUUUAAUUCUAGAGUUUUUCUUGAUGGUAGCUCCAGUAGGUAAGUUUCCACAGCUUCAGCAGAGAUUAAUUCUCCACUAGCACCGAAAAGCUUGAACUCAUUUUUCUUCAGCCCUUUGAUUCUCUGUAACCCCU
RNAcentral lists this long non-coding RNA (229 nucleotides) under Elaeis guineensis (African oil palm). RNAcentral describes it as "long non-coding RNA (EGUI_LNC075203)". Lineage: Eukaryota; Viridiplantae; Streptophyta; Magnoliopsida; Arecales; Arecaceae. The record is from RNAcentral.